Molecule: long non-coding RNA, 949 nt
Filed under: Nicotiana benthamiana
Lineage: Eukaryota; Viridiplantae; Streptophyta; Magnoliopsida; Solanales; Solanaceae
Description: long non-coding RNA (NBEN_LNC006075)
Source: RNAcentral
AGAAAUCUUACGAGCAUGGUAUCUAUAGUGCAGCUUGUUGUUAUUAUUAAACAUAUGGACUGUUUGUCCAAUGACACAUGUAGAUGUAGAAAUGUAGAAGCUUAUAGGCAAGAUCUCUUUAUGCAGAUGCGUAAACUUAUAAGCAGAAUUUUCUAUAGAAGUGCAGAAAAAUUUCUUAGGCGCGAUUCUAUAUGCAGAGGUGCAGAAAAAUUUAUUGGCAUGAUUUCUAUAUGCAGAAUCGCAAAAAGAACUUAUAGGCAUGUUUUCUAUAUGCAUAUGUAUAAGGUUAUGAACAUUAUUGCUAUAUGAUACAUAGUGAAAGUGCAUAAAUUCAGAGAUAAACCAUAUAGGAAGGAUAUCUAUCCUUAUGCAUACAUAAAGUAACCCCUCCCCCCUUCUUUACUAGUACCCCAUAAGUUUUACAAAUUAUUACAGACCAAAUGAAUCAAAGUGGAAAAAAAAUUACAUAAAAAAUCUAAGACGCAUCCAAGGAUCAAGAUUUCCAAGGCCUCUCGCGUAUCUGGAGUGCAUCAAAAUUCCAAGGAGUCUCAAGGACCCCAGGCAAUGCUUACACCCAGAUAUCAUUAUAGAAUUGAAUUAAGGUGCAGUGUGAAAGUGCCAGCCCUCCAAUAUCCAAGUUCAUAGGAAGCUCAAGGUCCCAAGGCGAUGCUCAUUGGAGUGGGGCAGAACAUAGAAUCUAGGAACGAGUGUAACUACAACAGAGGGAAUUAGAAGAUGCCAAGGUAUGUUGGUGGUCAUGCCCUGCAACGUGGAGUGCUAGCAUACCCCUGACAAGCAUGUUGGCCAAAUUGGAGAGUUAGGAGCUAUUGAAGGUCAAGCCCUAGCCUGGGCAGUAAUUAGAAUACUAUCAGUCAAAUGCUUUUACUCAGCACAUAGAAAGGGAUCGGGGAUAGGAAAUUUAAAGAGCUUAGGACCCAAAAGUGUCCAG